GCACCAGGGGGCCCUCAUCCUGGCUCCUUACUGUCUUGUACAUACAGUAAGGCAACCAGAGUGGAGGCAGGCUGGGAAUAUGCACCCACACCCUCCCUGGAAGGAAGAGAAGGAAGGAAGUUUGCAGUGGCGGUAUUAAACAAGUGCAGUAAAUGCAAGUGCUGCAGUUGCCAGGAGCAUGCAUUAUUUUCUCUUUCCUCCAGUCCUUCUGGAGCAAGCCAUAAAGAAUUGAUGAAGAGAGAAACUGUGUCCAAGGCAAUUGAGCAAACACUGUCUGCAUGGAGUCUUCCCAGACCACUGGUUACAGCUGAAUCAAGACAGAAUGAGUUUAGAGAUGUACAUCAAGGCAUCUCCCGCCUCAGACACCUCCAAAGCAUUCCUCAGCUGCCAGGGAAGAGCGUCUCAGUCAUGGUGAACACUGAUAAUUAAAGUCAACAUCUCAGCACAUUGAGUCAAUUUCUCGAAAGUCUUUUUUUCAACACCAGAAACCUCCGAUACCAUGGUCCUCUCUUGGUCCUGACCUGACCAUUUUCCAAGUGAUGACCAUUUUCCAAGUGAGGGUAAGGAGCUGCCUAUGGUUGUCAUGGCUACUGAGUGUGCAUUGAACUGUCCCAUGUUUGAUCAUACAUGAAGAAAUAUGAAUCCCGUUUCACCCGAGCAGUGUGAUCCUUGAACCUCCAACUCCUUCUGUGAAGAAGUCACAGAGCCCUGU
This is a long non-coding RNA of Microtus ochrogaster (prairie vole), 712 nucleotides long. RefSeq lists it as uncharacterized. The record is from RefSeq and is a predicted model, not a curated record. NCBI's taxonomy places the organism in Eukaryota, Metazoa, Chordata, Mammalia, Rodentia, Cricetidae. The transcript has 3 exons.